AGCAGCCGCGGUAAUUCCAGCUCCAAUAGCGUAUAUUAAAGUUGCUGCAGUUAAAAAGCUCGUAGUUGAAUUUCGGGACUAAUAUGUUGGUCGUGCCUCGGUACGUACUGAUAUUUUUGGUUUCUCCCUUCUGACGAACCUUGAUGUCAUUAAUUUGGUGUCUUGGGAAAUCAGGACUGUUACUUUGAAAAAAUUAGAGUGUUUAAAGCAGGCUCACGCUUGAAUACAUUAGCAUGGAAUAAUGAAAUAGGACGUUUGAUUCUAUUUUGUUGGUUUCUAGGAUUGACGUAAUGAUUAAUAGGGAUAGUUGGGGGCAUUAGUAUUCAAUUGUCAGAGGUGAAAUUCUUGGAUUUAUUGAAGACUAACUACUGCGAAAGCAUUUGCCAAGGAUGUUUUCAUUAAUCAAGAACGAAAGUUAGGGGAUCGAAGACGAUCAGAUACCGUCGUAGUCUUAACCAUAAACUAUGCCGACUAGGGAUCGGAUGAUGUUAAUUUUUAAUGACUCAUUCGGCGCCUUACG
RNAcentral lists this ribosomal RNA (520 nucleotides) under uncultured Glomus. Its description in RNAcentral is "SSU rRNA". It matches the Rfam family "Eukaryotic small subunit ribosomal RNA", at positions 569 to 1092 of the family's 1831-position model. The record is from RNAcentral. Lineage: Eukaryota; Fungi; Glomeromycota; Glomeromycetes; Glomerales; Glomeraceae.